CCUACGGGAGGCAGCAGUGGGGGAUAUUGCACAAUGGGGGGAACCCUGAUGCAGCGACGCCGCGUGGGUGAAGGAGUGCUUCGGCAUGUAAAGCCCUAUCGGCAGGGAAGAAGCAAGACGGUACCUGACUAAGAAGCCCCGGCUAACUACGUGCCAGCAGCCGCGGUAAUACGUAGGGGGCGAGCGUUAUCCGGAUUCACUGGGUGUAAAGGGAGCGUAGGCGGCCAAGCAAGCCAGGGGUGAAAGCCCGGGGCCCAACCCCGGGACUGCCCUUGGGACUGAGUGGCUAGAGUGCGGGAGGGGCAGGCGGAAUACCUGGUGUAGAGGUGAAAUGCGUAGAUAUCAGGUGGAACACCGGCGGCGAAGGCGGCCUGCUGGACCGCGACUGACGUUGAGGCUCGAAAGCGUGGGGAGCGAACAGGAUUAGAUACCCUAGUAGUC
RNAcentral lists this ribosomal RNA (441 nucleotides) under uncultured bacterium. RNAcentral describes it as "partial 16S ribosomal RNA". It matches the Rfam family "Bacterial small subunit ribosomal RNA", at positions 338 to 795 of the family's 1533-position model. The record is from RNAcentral.